AGCAGCCGCGGUAAUUCCAGCCCCAAUAGCGUAUAUUAAAGUUGCUGCAGUUAAAAAGCUCGUAGUUGAAUUUCGGGACCAAUAUGUCGGUCGUGCCUCGGUACGUACUGGCAUCGUUGGUUUCUCCCUUCUGACGAACCAUGAUGUCAUUUAUUUGGUGUCGUGGGGAAUCAGGACUGUUACUUUGAAAAAUUAGAGUGUUUAAAGCAGGCUCACGCUUGAAUACAUUAGCAUGGAAUAAUGAAAUAGGACGUUUGAUUCUAUUUUGUUGGUUUCUAGGAUCGACGUAAUGAUUAAUAGGGAUAGUUGGGGGCAUUAGUAUUCAAUUGUCAGAGGUGAAAUUCUUGGAUUUAUUGAAGACUAACUACUGCGAAAGCAUUUGCCAAGGAUGUUUUCAUUAAUCAAGAACGAAAGUUAGGGGAUCGAAGACGAUCAGAUACCGUCGUAGUC
RNAcentral lists this ribosomal RNA (450 nucleotides) under uncultured Glomus. Its description in RNAcentral is "SSU rRNA". It matches the Rfam family "Eukaryotic small subunit ribosomal RNA", at positions 569 to 1025 of the family's 1831-position model. Lineage: Eukaryota; Fungi; Glomeromycota; Glomeromycetes; Glomerales; Glomeraceae. The record is from RNAcentral.